GCAACCCCUUCUUUGGCUGGCUAGGGUUUCACGAGCCUCGGGAAAGAAGAUGCAGCUAAAAUUAACCGCUAUCAAGCUGUCAGCCCUGGAAAUAAACCUGCCUCCCAUUGGCUGCCGGUGACGUCACUGCUGGGUUAAUAAUAGCCGCCGAGUGCCUAACGAACCACCUGUGCAUGGGGCACAGCCAGGCCAUCACCCCGGGGCCACCGUCGCAGGCAGGUGGAGGCUGGCAGCCCAGAGGCAGACAGGGGCUUGGAGGCAGGGUGGGGAGCAAGGCCAAGGCCGCUCUCUGGCCCCCAGUGUCACAGGAUGACCUCAGCCCUGGCCUGGCCCCAGAGCAGGUUGGUUCACUGCUGGGCCCUGUGGACUUGUUCUCAUGCUUUGUCAGUGUCGAUGUCGAAAGCCCAAAGUGUUUCCCAAGUCCUGCUACCUUGGUAAGACUCAACCCUCAAUCUCAGUCUCCCCUGCAGAUCUCUGUGGGGCUUGGUCUGAACUUUCGUUAGGUGAGUGUGGAGUAGGCAUUAUUGUACAUUGUAGUCCUUUCUCCUCAAAAAAAAAAAAAAAAAGUAAGGUCUCUCCACUCUAGCCAGGUCCAAAUGCCAAAUGCCAAUGCCGCCCAAGUCUCUCCACUCUGGCCAGGUCCAAAUGCCAAAUGCCAAAAUACUGCCCGACACAGCUUGUCCUCUACUAUCUUUGUUCUGCUCUAACCUGGGUGGAUACAACCUCAGGUAAUCCCUGGUGAGUCGCAGCCUUGAGUACUUUCCUCCGAGAAACACUACGGUUUGUGUCCAGCCCAUAGAACACAGAAAGGUGAUAAGUCACUCUGUGAUUGGCUGCAUCAUUCCAGGCUCUGUCCUGGGGGACGGAGCAGCAAGACACCCCUGCUGUCUGUGAAGAUAUGGCUGUUGGAAGGCAUGGGAGGGGCCUCGUAUCAGGGAACCAGUGAGUGGCCCCAGGCUGCCAGCCAACAAGAAAGCAGGGACCUCAGUCCUACAGCCACAAGGAACUGAAUUCUGCCAACAACCACGUGGCCUUCAAAGAGGACCUCAAGCUUCAGAAAGAAAUACCAACACCUUGGUGGCACUCUUGAAACCCCGAGCCACCCAGCGGAAUUGUGUGUGGGCUCCUGACCCCCCAAAACUGAGAAUAAAUGCAUGUUUUUUAAAGCUACUAAAUCGGUGUUGAUUGGUUAUGCAGUGACGGAUAACAG
Molecule: long non-coding RNA, 1210 nt
Filed under: Homo sapiens (human)
Lineage: Eukaryota; Metazoa; Chordata; Mammalia; Primates; Hominidae
Description: non-protein coding lnc-PPDPF-1:7
Source: RNAcentral